GCCGCUGUAGCUCAGUCGGUAGAGCAGGGGACUGAAAAUCCCCGUGUCAACAGUUCGAUUCUGUUCGGCGGCA
RNAcentral lists this transfer RNA (73 nucleotides) under bacterium. RNAcentral describes it as "tRNA-Phe". It matches the Rfam family "tRNA". Rfam says of the family: Transfer RNA (tRNA) molecules are approximately 80 nucleotides in length. Their secondary structure includes four short double-helical elements and three loops (D, anti-codon, and T loops). The record is from RNAcentral. RNAcentral also lists the same sequence under 4 other names.